AAACUUGCUGUUCACAGUGUAAAACAUGCAACUCUUUACCCUACUUCUGCUUUUCGGCUGAGGAGCACGGCUGAGGGCGGCUGCACCUUGCGCAUUUUAACCUGUCCGCGCACAGAGGUGGUUCUGCUUUCCCAGCCGUUGGGUCUAAAGUUUGUGCUCCCCAUUAACGCGAGGGCGGUAGAGCAUUUAUUAGAGCACGUCGUGGUCUCUGGGCUCCCUCCCCACAGGCUUCUGCAAGCAGGUUUCAGCCGGGGGCCUUGGGAGCCGGACCCGGUCACCGAUCUAGCUAAACAUCUGCAAAAAGAGAGACAGACAGAAGAAAUCCAAGCGCUUCCAGGGAAACCUCAACUUUCGCCGAGGCCGAGGCUAGUGGCCGACCUCUACCGCCUCGCAGAGCGACGAGUAGGAGGGGAAGCUCCCCCUGGUCUUGGGCUUCUUCCUCGGGCCCGUGGAGGCAGCCAGGAGCUUGUUCAAGGAGGACGGCUUCCUCAGGCCCUUGGUGAGGUCGUAGAARGCCAUGUCGUCCGAUAUGACGCCCAGGAAAGUGCUGGUGGAGCUCAGGAUGGAGGCCGCGAUCUUGGUGUUUUUCCGGAUGGGCAGGGAGGGUCCGGCGGCGCUGUGCAGGUCGGGGUCGCCCAGGAGGUGCCGCACGGCGAAGGAGGCCCCGUCCUUCAGGUACUGGUGCGGCUUCUUGCCGCUGUAGUCCCUCAGGUCGGUCUUGGCGUUGUAGCUGCGCACCAGCAUGGUGAUGAUCUCCUCGCGGCCGUGCAUGGCGGCCACGUGCAGCGCCGUGUAGCCGCCGUAGGACUUGGCGUCGACGUUGACGUGGCCGCCGGCCUUGGCCGCCACCUCGAUGAUCUUCCCGGCCAUGUCGCAGUUGCCGCACUUGGCGGCCCAGUGCAGGGCGGUGAAGCCCGACAUGAAGUCGCGGCGGGCCGCCAGCCCGGCGUCGCUCAGCAGCAGCCCGUGCAGCUCCGGCGACCACCGCCCGCCCGCGGCCUUCACCAGCCACCGGUGCUCGGCCUCCUCCAGCGGCACCGCCGCCGUCUCCUCGCCCGCCCGCUGCCCCUUGG
Molecule: long non-coding RNA, 1073 nt
Filed under: Dromaius novaehollandiae (emu)
Lineage: Eukaryota; Metazoa; Chordata; Aves; Casuariiformes; Dromaiidae
Description: lncRNA (ENSDNVG00000011173.1)
Source: RNAcentral